ACUCCUACGGGAGGCAGCAGUAGGGAAUCUUCCACAAUGGGUGCAAACCUGAUGGAGCAAUGCCGCGUGAGUGAAGAAGGUCUUCGGAUCGUAAAGCUCUGUUGUUAGAGAAGAACACGUGCUAGGUAACUACUAGCACCUUGACGGUAUCUAACCAGAAAGUCACGGCUAACUACGUGCCAGCAGCCGCGGUAAUACGUAGGUGACAAGCGUUGUCCGGAUUUAUUGGGCGUAAAGGGAGCGCAGGCGGUCUGUUUAGUCUAAUGUGAAAGCCCACGGCUUAACCGUGGAACGGCAUUGGAAACUGACAGACUUGAAUGUAGAAGAGGAAAAUGGAAUUCCAAGUGUAGCGGUGGAAUGCGUAGAUAUUUGGAGGAACACCAGUGGCGAAGGCGAUUUUCUGGUCUAACAUUGACGCUGAGGCUCGAAAGCGUGGGGAGCGAACAGGAUUAGAUACCCUACUGCUGCCUCCCGUAGGAGUACAUC
This 486-nucleotide ribosomal RNA is filed under the name uncultured bacterium. RNAcentral describes it as "bacterial SSU rRNA". It matches the Rfam family "Bacterial small subunit ribosomal RNA", at positions 335 to 811 of the family's 1533-position model. The record is from RNAcentral.